Molecule: transfer RNA, 68 nt
Filed under: Elodes marginata
Lineage: Eukaryota; Metazoa; Arthropoda; Insecta; Coleoptera; Scirtidae
Also listed under: 1 other name
Description: tRNA-Trp
Source: RNAcentral
AAGGAUUUAAGUUAAAACUAAACUAUUAACCUUCAAAGUUAAUUAUAAAGGAGGUUCUUUAAGCCUUA